AAGAUGGCGUAWGCUAUCGCUUUUGGAUGGACCCGCGGCGUAUAGCUAKUUGGUGAGGUAAUGGCUCACCAAGGCRAUGAUACGUAGCCKAACUGAGAGGUUGAUCGSMCACAUUGGGACUGAGACACGGCCCAAACUCCUACGGGAGGCAGCAGUAGGGAAUCUUCCACAAUGGACGCAAGUCUGAUGGAGCAACGCCGCGUGAGUGAAGAAGGCUUUCGGGUCGUAAAACUCUGUUGUUGGAGAAGAAUGGUCGGCAGAGUAACUGUUGUCGGCGUGACGGUAUCCAACCAGAAAGCCACGGCUAACUACGUGCCAGCAGCCGCGGUAAUACGUAGGUGGCAAGCGUUAUCCGGAUUUAUUGGGCGUAAAGCGAGCGCAGGCGGUUUUUUAAGUCUGAUGUGAAAGCCCUCGGCUUAACCGAGGAAGCGCAUCGGAAACUGGGAAACUUGAGUGCAGAAGAGGACAGUGGAACUCCAUGUGUAGCGGUGAAAUGCGUAGAUAUAUGGAAGAACACCAGUGGCGAAGGCGGCUGUCUGGUCUGUAACUGACGCUGAGGCUCGAAAGCAUGGGUAGCGAACAGGAUUAGAUACCCUGGUAGUCCAUGCCGUAAACGAUGAAUGCUAGGUGUUGGAGGGUUUCCGCCCUUCAGUGCCGCAGCUAACGCAUUAAGCAUUCCGCCUGGGGAGUACGACCGCAAGGUUGAAACUCAAAGGAAUUGACGGGGGCCCGCACAAGCGGUGGAGCAUGUGGUUUAAUUCGAAGC
This 766-nucleotide ribosomal RNA is filed under the name Lacticaseibacillus paracasei. RNAcentral describes it as "bacterial SSU rRNA". It matches the Rfam family "Bacterial small subunit ribosomal RNA", at positions 202 to 957 of the family's 1533-position model. The record is from RNAcentral. Lineage: Bacteria; Bacillati; Bacillota; Bacilli; Lactobacillales; Lactobacillaceae.